UUCCGUUUAUGUUGUUCCGUUGUUUGCUAUUUUGACAACUUGAAAAGUUUUAUCGGCAGUUUGCGUGUUAUUACUGUGAAGUGUUUGGCCAAACCGCCGCUACCACUUUUGAAAGGAUGCCACCCAAAAAUCCAAAAAUUCGCUCGAACGCAGCACAAAUUAGAUUGCUCGUUGAAUACAUGUCACAGCACACCCGGUUCGCCAACCGGGAAUUUGACGGGCCUCUAAGGACCCCAGAGGUACGAGGCGCAAUGGGAGGCCCUUGCACAGGCCUUAAGGGAGCACGGGCCCAAUAAGUCAGUGCAGGCAUGGAAAGUGGUAAGUAAAUAUGCUUCCCAUAGUUAAGAUUUCCAUCACUUAGUCCGCAUAGAAGUCUUCCUAAACAAGACACUUUUUUAUAAUUAUAUAAUAUUGAAUGAAAUUACAGUGCAAUCUGUGCAUAGUAAUAAAAUGAAGUAUAAUAACUAAUAAAAUUAACAUCUUAAUGAUUACUGAGGUCAUGAUAAUGCAGGUCAAAGAGUCAGUUGCUUAUUAUAAUGUUUUCUAAAAAAGGUAUUUAAUAUGUAUAGUUUUGCUGUAGUGACCCACUAGGCUAAACCGGUCGUCGAACAUUUGAUUUGAUUUUAAUUUCUUAAUAAUAUUUAUGAAGUGAGUAAUCUAAGCUUUCUUAUUUCUCUUUGCUUAAACUAAGACCAUGAAGAGUUUAUUGUGUCUUGUUUAUUGUAUCUGUUGAGUUAAUGUCAGGCUAAGUAGUUUCUAAAAGUACUUUGCGAUACAAGUGCAAAAAGUAGGAAAUUACCUUUUUGCAUGUAUAUUGUACAUACAACGUCUUACAGUACAUAUGGCACUUUUCAAUAUAUGCAUGUAUAGUGCUAGUUACUGCACUAGGGCGGUAAAGUAGCACAAUAUGUAUUGCAAUAGUACAUUACGAUACAAGUGCGAAAAAUAGUUAAUUUAUUUAUUUAAUUAAACCUUUGGGAAACAAACAGGCAAAAACAACACACAUAGUUAAUCAGAUUACACAUCCACAAGCCAAACAGUUUCCACUAAUGAGUAAUAACAAUUAUGUUGCUCAGAAAUUAACAUUAAUAUCAAAACAUGCAAAACUCAAAUAACUCAAACUGUUGAAAACAAUAUUAACAAAUUGGCAAGUAUGCUGAAAUAUAGUAACUAAUCAAUAUUAUUAUUAGCUGUACAUUUUAUUACAGAAACAAACUGUUGUAAUGAUAAAUGGAAUAUAUCAAUAUCAGAAAAAAUUUCAUUAUAAGUUCUACACGCUCUAGCUAAGAACUUAUUUCUUGCAUAUGUAGUACGACCAAAGUUAAUUGCAAAUAGGUUUGUGGAGCGAGUUCGCCGAUCAGGACAUCGAAUUGAAAUUUUAGACAAAAGAUUGGGAGAAUCAAUAAGGCCAUGUAUGAUUUUGAACAAAAAUAUCUGAUCUCGAAUUUCUCUACGGGGUUGAAGAGAGAAAUUGUCAGGGCAAAAAGAUUUAAAUUUAUAUUAAAUUUCAUUGUUCUGAUAAAUUUGUUCUGAAUUUUUUGAAUUGUGUUAAUGUGAACAUUGAAAUGAGGAUUCCAGACUGUAGUAGCGUAUUCUAAGUUGGACCUAACAAAUGCGUUAAAGAGAAGUUGCAGAGUCUUAGGGUUUGUAAAAUCCCUGCUUUGUCGGAAAAUGAAUCCCAACAUUCUGUAUGCUUUUGCUGAAAUUUUGUCAAUAUGUGAAAUAAAUUGUAGUUCGCUAUCAAGAUUUAACCCCAGGUCCUUCACUUCAGACAAAACCCUUAAAUUUUUGUUGUUUAAUGAAUAAUUAUACUCUAUCUUAUUGCGUUUUCUUGUAAAUGUAAUGGCACAGCAUUUUUCGACAUUCAAGUACAGUUCAUUCAUAGAACAAUAUAAACUCAGUCUAUCAAGAUCAGCUUGAAGUUUCAUACAAUCAUCACUUGAUUUAAUAAUGGUGUAUAUUUUAGUAUCGGCAUAUAAUAACAAGUCAGAAAAUUUGAAACGAGUGGCGAUAAAUUAAAACACGACUGAAGGGAGUGUUUUAAAUUGACACGAGUUGCGAAUUACCUAUUCGCACAUGUAUCGUACAACGUUUUACAGUACAUAAGGUGGGCACCUGCUCCCCGCUGGCGACACCCUUGCAGAAGCUAGCAUUUUCAGAUAUAUUUACUUUUUAAGUUUUUGGUUUGGUUUAACCGGAAUUAUUUUUACCCGACUAUGAGAAUGGGAAGGGUUAUGAUUUUAGCAGUCUACGUAUGGAUGCCGUAUAUAUGCCGGUAUGUUUUUGUUGUGUAUAAAUUACUAAUCAAUUUUGGUGAAUGAGGUGUUUAUAGGUUCAUUUUUAUGGGGUGACAUAGACUACAUAAUAAUAUUUAACUGACUUUGGACAAGGAAGAGGUGCUAUAGUUAAGAAAAAAAUCAUAGUCGGGUAAAAGUUUUUACAAUCUUUUGCUUGUUUUCAUUCUUAUAACAAAUAUUUUAAACUUGCAUGUGCUCAUUGCCUCAGAUUGACGACUACGUUGAGUUUUCGGGUGCUGGGAACAGUGUGGCUGGCAGCACGUUUUCUGCCACUGCUGAAAAUCUCGUUGUUGUUCCAACAACCGCCACCGUUACUGCGGCCUUGCUCAGCGAACAACCCCACUUCUCCACCUCUCAUUUGUCCUCGUCUCCCUCUCCUUCUGCCAGCCCUAUACGCUCCACGCAUUCAGUACUGCCCACAAGUCCUGGACUACCCGAACGUCCCUCUCUUGCCGCCCUUUCCGCCCGCUAUGCCCGUCCCGCCCUUCUCGCUCGUUCCGCAAUAACCGCCCAACCCGCACGUCUUGUCCUGCCUGCACGUCAAGUACACAGCUCUGUGUACGUGGAUCCGCGCCCUGCACGCGUAUCCACGUACACAGAGCUGUGUACUUGCCCCGCAACCGCACGACGGAACCGGCACCUUCGACAGCACAAUUUAAUCAUCUGCAGCAUGAGCAUGAUAAUAUUUUAAGAGUAAUUAAUUAAUUUAUGAACUAAUAAUUCUGUUUUAAGAUCAGGUUGAGUACGAGAAACAUUGUUUAUUUAACUUGGGACAAGAAAAACAGUAACUUGGCAGUAAGAAUGCAUACAUAAAGCCUGUAAGCUCCAUACUUGACGUACCAUUCCCUACAAGUGUUUCUCUUGCCUCCAUAUUUCGCUUACCCCAUCUGACCUUAUUUGUAUUGAUAAAACAUACAAAUAAUAAAUAUAUAUAUACGCGAGCAAUCGCAAAAUCUACAUUUCGGGAUUUCUCGUAUCGUACAGUGCCGUUUAAAUAAAAUAACACCACCAACUACCCAUAAGAGGGUUAUUAUGAAACUUAUAAUUAACAUGCAUUUUAUUGAAAGGCUGGAAUUUUAUUUAUCUUGAAAUCUUGACCAUGGUCAUAUGUUUGACUGGACGGUACACGGCAAUGUUAUUAUUACUAAUAUAUUUCAUAACACUAGACUUAUUCAAUCCUAAGUAACCUAUUAGCUUCUCAUUCGUGUGCGGUAUAUAUCAGCGUUUGGUAGUAUCAUAAUAGUCAAAUCUGGUGUUGGUUGUUGUUAAUAGUUAAAUGUUCAUAAAAUUUGACAACUUAUUAUAGUUAUAUUUUGUGUGAGUCAGUUAUCAUAACAGAAAUAAGAUAUAAAGCUGUUAAUACCGUAAAUUGUGUAUGGAUAUGUUUGACUCAAAUUCUGUAUUCCCACAAUAAGUAGGUAUACGGGGAGCCCGUAAGAAAUCAGUGGUAUAUGAAGGCUUUCUUGUGCAACUUUAGUAUGAGCUGGAACAAGUAAAUGUAGUUAUGUAGAACAGAUAAUCUCCAUUGUGGUAGAUGGCGCUAUUUAUUAUGUGCUCUGUGAUACCACUUAGUUUAAACUUGCUAUAACAUAUUUUAUGUUGACAGGAUAUCCUGAACGAACUGAAAUUUUUUAAUGAGGCGCAGAAACAAAAAUGGAGUGUUUUGAAGGAGGGGCACGACUUGUUGGCGAAUCGUAUUAACACAUUGGAGGACACCGAGAUUAUUGAGAACUUGGAAGACACAGUUAUAAUGGAAGAGGAAGACGUCUGAGCUAAGCGCUGUCCUCGCACCCUCCGUCUAGUUUACGUUUGCGGCCAUAUCAAAAAUACACACCGUAUGUUUAUUAGGGUUCCGUACCAAAAAGGUACAAAAGGAACCCUUAUGGUGCUAUUGCUAAAUAUCUCGAGAAGUACUUAAGCUAUCGAUGUGAAAUUUGGAAUAGUAAUGAAUAACGCUGACCCAAACAUAUUGGAUGUGUAUUUAUUUUAUUUUAUUUGUAAGUAUUAAUAAUGGAAAAUUCCCAAUAUGAAGAGGGGGUAAAAUUGCAAAGUCUAGUUAAAUAGGUCAAGUGGGGUAUCAUUUGAAAGAGCUCAAAUUGAAAAUUACAAAACAAUUUUUUAUUUUCAUUGUGAAAAAAAAAUUUACGUAUGAAGGAAAAUGUGAAAAUAAUACCAUCCCCCCCCCCCUCUCUCAUCUCCGAAGUUUAAGAAUAAAAAUUGUUUUUUUUACAUUGGUCAAGUCUUUCAUGAGAAAAUUUGAAGUUUGUACGGAACCCUCGGUGUGCGAGGUAAACGAACUCGCACUUGACCGGUUAUUCUUAUUGCCCAUAAGGCCCGUCCUUAGAUAUAUGUCAAUGAUUACGGUGAUCUCGAAAAUGGCUCAAAUGAUUUCAAUUAAAUUUGCUAUAUGGGGGUUUUCGGGGCGUUUUUGAGUUUUUACCUAUUUGUUUUCCGAGCAAAAGGAAUUAAAGUUUACUGAUUUUGAAAA
Molecule: long non-coding RNA, 4785 nt
Organism: Cydia pomonella (codling moth)
Lineage: Eukaryota; Metazoa; Arthropoda; Insecta; Lepidoptera; Tortricidae
Exons: 4
Source: RefSeq, a predicted model, not a curated record